Molecule: ribosomal RNA, 540 nt
Filed under: uncultured bacterium
Lineage: Bacteria
Description: partial 16S ribosomal RNA
Rfam family: Bacterial small subunit ribosomal RNA
Source: RNAcentral
GAUGAACGCUGGCGGUGUGCCUAAUACAUGCAAGUCGUACGCAUUCUCGUUUCUGAUUGACGGUGCUUGCACCUAAUUGACGAGACAUUGGAAUGAGUGGCGGACGGGUGAGUAACACGUGGGUAACCUGCCCAGAAGUGGGGGCUAACAUUUGGAAACAGAUGCUAAUACCGCAUAAAAGUCAAAAUCACAUGGUUUUGAUUUAAAAGAUGGCCUUUGUGCUAUCCCUUCUGUAUGGACCCGCGGAGUAUUAGAUAGUUGGUAAGGUAACGGCUUACCAAGGCAAUGAUACGUAGCCGAACUGAGAGGUUGAUCGGCCACAAUGGGACUGAGACACGGCCCAUACUCCUACGGGAGGCAGGAGUAGGGAAUCUUCCACAAUGGGCGCAAGCCUGAUGGAGCAACACCGCGUGAGUGAAGAAGGGUUUCGGCUCGUAAAACUCUGUUGUUAAAGAAGAACGUAUCUAAGAGUAACUGCUUAGGUAGUGACGGUAUUUAACCAGAAAGCCACGGCUAACUACGUGCCAGCCGCCGCCGUAA